CCUACGGGUGGCAGCAGUGGGGAAUAUUGGGCAAUGGGCGCAAGCCUGACCCAGCAACGCCGCGUGAAGGAAGAAGGCUUUCGGGUUGUAAACUUCUUUUAUAAGCGAGAAAUAUGAUGGUAACUUAUGAAUAAGGAUCGGCUAACUACGUGCCAGCAGCCGCGGUCAUACGUAGGAUCCGAGCAUUAUCCGGAGUGACUGGGUGUAAAGAGUUGCGUAGGUGGCAUAAUAAGUAGCUAGUGAAAUCUGGUGGCUCAACCAUUCAGACUAUUAGCUAAACUGUUAAGCUCGAGACCGUUAGGGGUAACUGGAAUUUCUAGUGUAGGAGUGAAAUCCGUAGAUAUUAGAAAGAACACCGAUAGCGUAGGCAGGUUACUGGGACGGUUCUGACACUAAGGCACGAAAGCGUAGGGAGCAAACGGGAUUAGAUACCCUGGUAGUC
Molecule: ribosomal RNA, 442 nt
Filed under: uncultured bacterium
Lineage: Bacteria
Description: partial 16S ribosomal RNA
Rfam family: Bacterial small subunit ribosomal RNA
Source: RNAcentral